RNAcentral lists this ribosomal RNA (234 nucleotides) under uncultured bacterium. Its description in RNAcentral is "partial 16S ribosomal RNA". It matches the Rfam family "Bacterial small subunit ribosomal RNA", at positions 114 to 334 of the family's 1533-position model. The record is from RNAcentral.
CGCGUAGGUAAUCUAUCCUUACAUUUGGGAUAACAUCGGGAAACUGGUGCUAAUACCGAAUGGUCUUCAUUGCUUUGGGGCGAUGGAGUAAAGGUGGCCUCUUCAUGAAAGCUACCGUGUAGGGAUGAGCCUGCGUACCAUUAGCUAGUAGGUGGGGUAAUGGCCCGCCUAGGCUACGAUGGUUAGCGGGUCUGAGAGGAUGAUCCGCCACACUGGAACAGAAACACGGACCAG